ACGUACAGUCCUACGGGAGGCAGCAGUGGGGAAUAUUGGACAAUGGGCGCAAGCCUGAUCCAGCCAUGCCGCGUGAGUGAUGAAGGCCCUAGGGUUGUAAAGCUCUUUCACCGGUGAAGAUAAUGACGGUAACCGGAGAAGAAGCCCCGGCUAACUUCGUGCCAGCAGCCGCGGUAAUACGAAGGGGGCUAGCGUUGUUCGGAUUUACUGGGCGUAAAGCGCACGUAGGCGGACUAUUAAGUCAGGGGUGAAAUCCCGGGGCUCAACCCCGGAACUGCCUUUGAUACUGGUAGUCUUGAGUUCGAGAGAGGUGAGUGGAAUUCCGAGUGUAGAGGUGAAAUUCGUAGAUAUUCGGAGGAACACCAGUGGCGAAGGCGGCUCACUGGCUCGAUACUGACGCUGAGGUGCGAAAGCGUGGGGAGCAAACAGGAUUAGAAACCCUAGUAGUCCC
RNAcentral lists this ribosomal RNA (451 nucleotides) under uncultured organism. Its description in RNAcentral is "partial 16S ribosomal RNA". It matches the Rfam family "Bacterial small subunit ribosomal RNA", at positions 329 to 797 of the family's 1533-position model. The record is from RNAcentral.